Long non-coding RNA from Rattus norvegicus (Norway rat), 637 nucleotides. RefSeq lists it as uncharacterized. Lineage: Eukaryota; Metazoa; Chordata; Mammalia; Rodentia; Muridae. The record is from RefSeq and is a predicted model, not a curated record.
AGUGCAUUGUGGGUAACUGAUACCCCAGGAAGCAGAGGUGAGGCGCAGGGCGCAGCGGCUGUGCUCAGAGAAGAGGUUGGGAAAGAGCAGGAAGAGGGCAUCCUGUCAGCUGGGCACUUCAUAAAGAAACGCCAUGGGGUCCUCUUCCAACGCUUCUCACGAAAAACUCACACAGAGCAGGAGCCAAGCAUCUGGCCACCCUUGAGUGCCGUGCUGCAGCCUGAGUCAGGAGCAGGUGGUGGCAUCCCGCAAGUGUCGGGAAGCAGAUAAAUACUAUGUGUUGACCCCUAUCCUCUGUCACAACCCGCUGCCCCCAGGAACAACGAGCUCUAAGGAGAAGAAUACUUAAACCGUUACGCAAAGAGGCAGACCCCAAGGCGGGAGGCACCAGGCAGAAUGUCUCCAGAACCCGCCUUAGCUCUUGGGGCUGCACCGUGCCGGUAUUGUUGACAUCGAUGAGCUGGAAGACUUUCCUGAUAGUCCUCAUGUUUCGGAAGAUCUGCAUAACGAACGGGAAGGGGAUUUGGAAAAGUCAAGAGGCCCGAUGGUAAAAACUCAAACGGCAACAAAACAUGGAGGAGCUUUUUUUUUUUUUUUUUUACUACUUCUUAUAAAAUAAAAUGUUUUCAAAGAUUCA